CGGAAUAUAGCUCAGCUUGGUAGAGCGCUGUCUUCGGGAGGCAGAGGUCGCAGGUUCGAAUCCUGCUAUUCCGACCA
RNAcentral lists this transfer RNA (77 nucleotides) under Halomonas sp. 'Soap Lake #6'. RNAcentral describes it as "tRNA-Pro". It matches the Rfam family "tRNA". Rfam says of the family: Transfer RNA (tRNA) molecules are approximately 80 nucleotides in length. Their secondary structure includes four short double-helical elements and three loops (D, anti-codon, and T loops). Further hydrogen bonds mediate the characteristic L-shaped molecular structure. tRNAs have two regions of fundamental functional importance: the anti-codon, which is responsible for specific mRNA codon recognition, and the 3' end, to which the tRNAs corresponding amino acid is attached (by aminoacyl-tRNA synthetases). tRNAs cope with the degeneracy of the genetic code in two manners: having more than one tRNA (with a specific anti-codon) for a particular amino acid; and 'wobble' base-pairing, i.e. permitting non-standard base-pairing at the 3rd anti-codon position. Lineage: Bacteria; Pseudomonadati; Pseudomonadota; Gammaproteobacteria; Oceanospirillales; Halomonadaceae. The record is from RNAcentral. RNAcentral also lists the same sequence under 1 other name.